Transfer RNA from Sphingomonas sanxanigenens, 74 nucleotides. It matches the Rfam family "tRNA". Rfam says of the family: Transfer RNA (tRNA) molecules are approximately 80 nucleotides in length. Their secondary structure includes four short double-helical elements and three loops (D, anti-codon, and T loops). Lineage: Bacteria; Pseudomonadati; Pseudomonadota; Alphaproteobacteria; Sphingomonadales; Sphingomonadaceae. The record is from Rfam.
GCACCCGUAGCUCAGCUGGAUAGAGCGCUGCCCUCCGAAGGCAGAGGCCAGGGGUUCGAAUCCCUUCGGGUGCG